This 253-nucleotide ribosomal RNA is filed under the name uncultured bacterium. RNAcentral describes it as "partial 16S ribosomal RNA". It matches the Rfam family "Bacterial small subunit ribosomal RNA", at positions 524 to 776 of the family's 1533-position model. The record is from RNAcentral.
UACGGAGGGUGCAAGCGUUGUCCGGAAUCACUGGGCGUAAAGGGCGCGUAGGCGGCCUGGUAAGUAGGGGGUGAAAUCCUGCGGCUUAACCGCAGGGCUGCCUUCUAAACUGUCAGGCUUGAGCACGGUAGAGGCAGAUGGAAUUCCCGGUGUAGCGGUGGAAUGCGUAGAGAUCGGGAAGAACAUCAGUGGCGAAGGCGGUCUGCUGGGCCGUUGCUGACGCUGAGGCGCGACAGCGUGGGGAGCAAACGGG